RNAcentral lists this ribosomal RNA (466 nucleotides) under uncultured bacterium. Its description in RNAcentral is "partial 16S ribosomal RNA". It matches the Rfam family "Bacterial small subunit ribosomal RNA", at positions 28 to 507 of the family's 1533-position model. The record is from RNAcentral.
GAUGAACGCUGGCGGCGUGCUUAACACAUGCAAGUCGAACGGAAAGGCCCAAGCUUGCUUGGUUUCUCGAGUGGCGAACGGGUGAGUAACACGUGUGGGAACUGCCCUUCACUUUGGGAUAAGCCUGCGAGACUGGGUCUAAUACCGGAUAGGAUCAUCUUCUAGUCUCGGUGGUGGAAAGAUUUUCGGUGUUGGAUGAGCUCGUGGCCGAUCCGCUUGUUGGUGCGGUAAUGGCUUACCAAAGCGUCGACGGGGACCCGGCCUGAGAGGGUGUACGGCCACCUUGGGACUGAGAGACGGCCCCGGCUCCUACGGGACGCAGCAGUGGGGAAUCUUGCACAAUGGGCGCCAGCCUGGUGCAGCGACGCUGCGUGGCGGAUGACUGUCUUCGGGUUGUAAACUACUUUCGCAAAGGACGGAGCGUUUUGUGACGGUACUUGGACAAGAAGCCCCGGCUAACUACGUG